UACGUAGGCAGCGAGCGUUGUUCGGAGUUACUGGGCGUAAAGGGUGUGUAGGCGGUCCCUUAAGUUUGGUGUGAAAUCUCCCGGCUCAACUGGGAGGGUGCGCCGGAUACUGAGGGGCUAGAGUGCGGGAGGGGAAAGUGGAAUUCCAGGUGUAGCGGUGAAAUGCGUAGAUAUCUGGAGGAACACCGGUGGCGAAGGCGGCAUCCUGGACCGACACUGACGCUGAGGAGCGAAAGCCAGGGGAGCAAACGGG
This 253-nucleotide ribosomal RNA is filed under the name uncultured bacterium. RNAcentral's name for it is "partial 16S ribosomal RNA". It matches the Rfam family "Bacterial small subunit ribosomal RNA", at positions 524 to 776 of the family's 1533-position model. The record is from RNAcentral.